This 497-nucleotide ribosomal RNA is filed under the name uncultured bacterium. RNAcentral describes it as "partial 16S ribosomal RNA". It matches the Rfam family "Bacterial small subunit ribosomal RNA", at positions 28 to 507 of the family's 1533-position model. The record is from RNAcentral.
GAUGAACGCUGGCGGCGUGCCUAAUACAUGCCAGUCGAGCGAACAGAUGAGGAGCUUGCUCCUCUGACGUUAGCGGCGGACGGGUGAGUAACACGUGGAUAACCUACCUAUAAGACUGGGAUAACUUCGGGAAACCGGAGCUAAUACCGGAUAAUAUAUUGAACCGCAUGGUUCAAUAGUGAAAGACGGUUUUGCUGUCACUUAUAGAUGGAUCCGCGCCGCAUUAGCUAGUUGGUAAGGUAACGGCUUACCAAGGCGACGAUGCGUAGCCGACCUGAGAGGGUGAUCGGCCACACUGGAACUGAGGCACGGUCCAGACUCCUACGGGAGGCAGCAGUAGGGAAUCUUCCGCAAUGGGCGAAAGCCUGACGGAGCAACGCCGCGUGAGUGAUGAAGGUCUUCGGAUCGUAAAACUCUGUUAUUAGGGAAGAACAAAUGUGUAAGUAACUAUGCACGUCUUGACGGUACCUAAUCAGAAAGCCACGGCUAACUACGUG